GCCGAGGAUGAUGUAGAUGACGAGAAUGACGAUCAGCACGCCGAGCGCCGGCAGGUUGAAGGCGUUGAUCGCGUUGAGCAGCACCGUCGGCAGCGUCGAUGU
This 102-nucleotide unclassified non-coding RNA is filed under the name fungal sp. RNAcentral describes it as "partial internal transcribed spacer region". Lineage: Eukaryota; Fungi. The record is from RNAcentral.